GAAAGUAAGCAAGGGCAGACGGUGGAUGCCUUGGCUCUCGGAGGCGACGAAGGACGUGAUAAGCUGCGAAAAGCCCGGGGGAGGCGCAAAUAGCCGUUGAUCCCGGGAUAUCCGAAUGGGGCAACCCGGCAGGCUGAAGGCCUGCCAUCCCGUAAGGGAGGCGAACGUGGGGAACUGAAACAUCUAAGUACCCAUAGGAGGAGAAAAUAAACAAUGAUUCCGUAAGUAGUGGCGAGCGAACACGGAAGAGCCCAAACCCAUGUCGUCUAGGCGACACGGGGGUUGUAGGACCACGACGUGGCAAGAUAGAGUCAAGUGGAACGCCUUGGAAAAGGCGGUCAUAGAGGGUGAAAACCCCGUACACGACUGACGAUUGAAGCCUAGUGGCAUCCUGAGUAGCGCGGGGCACGAGAAAUCUUGCGUGAAACUGCGGGGCCCAUCCCGUAAGGCUAAAUACUCCCGAGAGACCGAUAGCGAACCAGUACCGUGAGGGAAAGGUGAAAAGAACCCCGAGCAGGGGAGUGAAAUAGACCCUGAACCCGUCUGCCUACAAGCGGUCGGAGCGUUGUUAUGACGUGACGGCGUGCCUUUUGCAUAAUGAACCUACGAGUUACCUUCCCCGGCAAGGUUAAGUACCUAAGGUACGGAGCCGAAGCGAAAGCGAGUCUGAAGAGGGCGGCCAGUCGGGGGGGGUAGACGCGAAACCGAGUGAUCUACCCUUGGCCAGGUUGAAGGUUGGGUAACACCAACUGGAGGACCGGAUGGGUAAGCGUUGAAAAGCUUUCCAAUGAGCUGAGGGUAGGGGUGAAAGGCUAAUCAAACUCGGAGAUAGCUCGUACUCCCCGAAAUGCAUUUAGGUGCAGCCUCUUUAUAGUAUAUCGUGAGGUAGAGCGACUGAUUGGAUGCGAGGGCUUCACCGCCUAUCAAGUCCAGAUAAACUCCGAAUGCGCGAUAUAUAUUUACAGGGAGUGAGGGCGCGGGUGCUAAGGUCCGUGUCCGAGAGGAGAAGAAUCCAGACCACCGGCUAAGGCCCCCAAAUGAUCGUUGAGUUGAACUAACGAGGUCGGAUCGCAGAGACAGCUAGGAUGUUGGCUUGGAAGCAGCCAUUCAUUUAAAGAGUGCGUAACAGCUCACUAGUCGAGCGAUCUGGCGUGGAUAAUAAUCGGGCAUAAACGAUCUGCCGAAGCCGUGGAUGUCGCAAGACAUGGUAGGGGAGCAUUCCAUGCCGCGUCGAAGAUGAGGGAUGACCCUUGUUGGAGCGCAUGGAAAAGCAAAUGUAGGUAUGAGUAACGAUAAGGGGGGCGAGAAACCCCCCCGCCGAAAGACCAAGGUUUCCUGAUCAACGCUAAUCGGAUCAGGGUGAGUCGGGACCUAAGGCAAAGCCGAACGGCGCCGCCGAUGGAAGAAUGGGUUAAUAUUCCCAUACUGCCUCAUGGAGUGACGUGGAGACGGAGAAGUGACAGUCCUGCCGGCUGACGGAAUAGCCGGUUGAAGGGUGUAGAUAUUGAUUCCCGUAGGCAAAUCCGCGGGGAGAGUCGAACCUGACAGUAUACCGAGUACUUGUACGAGGUAAUAUGGACGUAACCAUGCUCCCAAGAAAAUCCGCUAAACUUAUCCAUGCGGCACCCGUACCGUAAACGGACACACGUGGUCGGGUUGAGAAUACUGAGGCGCUCGAGUGACUCACGGUUAAGGAACUAGGCAAAUUGACCCUGUAACUUCGGGAUAAAGGGUCCUCGUCGUAAGGCGAGGCGCAGAGAAUAGGUCCAGGCAACUGUUUAACAAAAACACAUGGCUGUGCUAAAUGGAAACAUGACGUAUACAGCCUGACACCUGCCCGGUGCUGGAAGGUUAAGAGGAGAUGUCAUCGCAAGAGAAGCGUUGAAUUGAAGCCCCAGUAAACGGCGGCCGUAACUAUAACGGUCCUAAGGUAGCGAAAUUCCUUGUC
Molecule: ribosomal RNA, 1948 nt
Filed under: human gut metagenome
Description: bacterial LSU rRNA
Rfam family: Bacterial large subunit ribosomal RNA
Source: RNAcentral